UCGGGAAUUUUGGGCAAUGGGCGAAAGCCUGACCCAGCAACGCCGCGUGAAGGAUGAAGUAUUUCGGUAUGUAAACUUCGAAAGAAUAGGAAGAAUAAAUGACGGUACUAUUUAUAAGGUCCGGCUAACUACGUGCCAGCAGCCGCGGUAAUACGUAGGGACCAAGCGUUGUUCGGAUUUACUGGGCGUAAAGGGCGCGUAGGCGGCAAUUCAAGUCAUCUGUGAAAUCUCCGGGCUUAACUCGGAACGGUCAGAUGAUACUGCUUUGCUAGAGUGCAGAAGGGGCAAUCGGAAUUCUUGGUGUAGCGGUGAAAUGCGUAGAUAUCAAGAGGAACACCUGAGGCGAAGGCGGGUUGCUAGGCUGAUACUGACGCUGAGGCGCGAAAGCUAGGGUAGCAAACGGGAUUAGAUACCCUAGUAGUCCCUGAGCGGGCUGGCAAGGCGCAU
Molecule: ribosomal RNA, 447 nt
Filed under: uncultured bacterium
Lineage: Bacteria
Description: bacterial SSU rRNA
Rfam family: Bacterial small subunit ribosomal RNA
Source: RNAcentral